Molecule: long non-coding RNA, 15023 nt
Organism: Apis cerana (Asiatic honeybee)
Lineage: Eukaryota; Metazoa; Arthropoda; Insecta; Hymenoptera; Apidae
Source: RefSeq, a predicted model, not a curated record
ACUGACAAACGAGGCAUCGCUGCGGAGUGUAGCGAGAACGUGCACGCCGCCCGGCCCCUCUGCUUUCCGACGCCCGGCCUCUCCCCGUUCUGCUCUGCUCUGCUCUCUCGUUUCGCCGUUCCACUCGCGAAAAUGGUUUCCGCGCGAUGGCCGUGAGUCAGUGGAAGAGAUCACAUGGCGAAGUGCUAAAUAUAAUUGACAUAGUGCAAGCCCACGGGAUCCGUGGAUCGCGUCUCUUUCUCUCUCGAGGGAGAUAUAAUUUCACGGAGAUUCGUGCUCGAUUUUUCGCCGCCAAACACGCCAUUGACAAAUAUUUACGAAUUAUUUAUUGUGCGGUGUUGUUUGUUGUGCAACAAUUCGAACGAAAUUUUUUUCCUUUCCUCCUCCGUCGAGCGUUCUCCGAGUUUCGGGGGGAGGGAAAUUUUCCUCUUUUUCUUUUCUUUUUAUUUCGUAACGCAAAGUGAAGAAUCUUUUUUUCGAGAAAGGUGUGCAAUCGCUGGGACAAGCUGUUCGAACGGGGAACGUAUGUUGUAUUAGCUGUAGGAUGGAUGGAUGGUUCCCUUUUUUUUAAGCGGGGGAGAAAUUUUCAAGGGGGAUUUCGGUUGUCGAACUGUGCACAACUGCGGUGCCGGCCACUUGCGAAAGAAUAUAUUUUUUUCUCGGCGUAUUUGGAAUCGAAGAGACGGGAAAAUGAAGGAAGAUAAAAGAGAGGAGAGGAAGAAGAAGAGAAGAAAAAAAAGAAAAAAGAAUUUGAAAAAAAUGAGAAGAUGGGGCGAGUGGGGUAAUAUGCAGAAACCAUGAAGACCGUUAGCCACCGUGACGCAAUUUCCGGGCGCUUCUAUCUAGAAUUGGCACUCCCAAUGGUCGCCAGAGGACCGAUGCACUUCAAAGCGGAGCCCCCGGACUCUUUCGACUCUACGAUUCGUUGAUUCGAUUCGUCCAUUUUCCGUCAUUUCUCGUCGCACGAGGGAGAAAGACGGCCAGACGUUUCCAAACUUUUCUACCAUAAUUGAAAUAAUGAUGCAUAAAUGAAAGUUUGGCCAAUUCUCGAUUUGGAAGGAAGAGGAUCGAACUGGAUAUCGGAUGAAGAUCGUUCGGGGGAAAAGAGAGCGUGAUGAUACGCGACAGUUUGAUAUUCUCCCGGAGAUAAUUUGAUAAAAAAGUCUUUAAAGACUCUUUUUACGUUCGAAAGUUUGCUUUUUUUUAAAUAGCAGACUUGUUCGAAUCGAGGCUUGCUUUCAAUCUCAAGAAAAAGAAAGAGAAUAGGAUUAACUCUGGAAUUAAUCGCGAACAAGAUCCCUUUUUAAAUACCCGUCAUGAUCUUGGGAUAUCCUCCGAUUAAAAGAAAAAAACUCGCGAGGAAUUCUUAUCUUAUCAUCCCCAUUCCUCCCUUCCUUUUCGUUCACAUCAAAUAUUUCUCUUCGUAUUUUUGUUUCCCUUCCCUUCCGAAGAAGGAGAGCUUUACCGAAAUUUAAUCAGGGAACGAGAGAUUUAUUCAUCGAAACUUCUCCUUAACUCUUAAAAUCAACGUCCUUGUUCGACAUAAAACGAGUUUACCUACGCAGCUUCAUAUACGGCGAAGCGGACGGUCGAGAAACUGGAGAAAUUUGAGGAAUGAGUCACUUAGGAGGCUGACAAAUCGUUGCAUCAUUCAAUUACGAACGCAUUCCUACUUUAUCUCUACUUUCCCACGAAAAAGAAAAGAAACCAAUUCUCAAUCGUGAUUGGAAAAAAAGACUGGCAAGUAUCUCAGCGAUGAUCCCUCCUUUCGAAAAUCGAAACCCUCCAGAGAGAAGGAAAAAACCAAAUCACAAAUAAUGUUCCAUCGCGAGUUUUGCAAGAGGUUCCAUCGUGGAAGGAGAGGGAAACGCAUAGAACGAGAGAAGUAGUAGGAGGGGAGGAAAAACGAAGGGUACGGAGGAAGAAAGCACUUCAAUCGCAGCACUUUGGCCGGAGCCGCGUAAUUUAUGCGUUCAAUACCCGGUCCAGCCAUUCCUCCGGAAAAAGAAAAAAAUAUAUAUAUAUAUAUAUUAAUUCCGACCUCCUUUAAAAAGUUAUCGCGAAAAGGAGGUUGGUCACGGUUGGUUAGGAUGGAGGGGGAGGAAUCGGGGGUGAAAGCGAGCCACCAACUUUCUCGCGGCCGGUGGAAAUGACUCGGGCGGUAAAAUAUAGCCGCGGACAAGUCGCAGGUGCGGCCACGCGUAGGAGAGAUCGGCAUCCUCCUCGUUACGGUGUACUUCUCUCUUUUUUCUUUUCUUCCCUUUUCCCGCUUGGACGAUCUUUUUGGACGAUACGAAGAUCGAUCGAUGUUCGAAAAAAUGAGAGUCGAAAAAAUGAAGUUCGAUUUUUGGACGAGAGUGAUCGAAACGUUUCUCUGAUAAAAACGUGGGAUGAUGUAACGUCACUGUUCACGGUCUUUCUCUCCUCGGCGCACACGUGGCGAGCGAGGUUUAAGGCAGUGCGAGAAAUUUUUCCCGGGAUUUCGGAUGCAUCGAUCGAUAAAAUUCGUUUUUCGACGGAAUUGGGAUCGUUGUGAAACGCCGCAACGUGUUGCGCGAUUCGAAAAAAAGGGGGAAAAAAGAGAAAAAAUUGUGCAUAAACACUGCGGACUCGCGUAGAAGAGAAAAAUAGAAACGGAGAAUCAUCUCGUGUCCCUUAUUCAUCGUUUUAUUCGUUUUUGGUGGCGAAAAAUUUGAAAGAAAGAAAAAUAUAUAGAUUAUGAUUACGAUUUUCGUGAAAUAAAAAAAAAAAAAUAUCCACGAAGGUAGGUCGAAUAUGUAAAAAUGUCUUUCGAGUUUGGAAAAGAGAAAAUAUUCGUUCGUGUCGAAAAGUCCUGUAUUUUUUCUUUUUCUUUUUUUGUUUGAAGAAAAUAUAGCAGAAUUUCAUUUUUAAUUGGAAAAAUUUAUAAUUCAUUUGAACCAGAAGAAAUUAAAUAUCGCUCUAAAGUGCACGAGCAAUUUCAUCUUAAUUUCCAUAAAGAAUUUCUAGCGUAGAUUCGAGGAGUGGAUAUCACGAGUAGAACACCGGAGAGGGAGAGGGAAAUUAAUUAAUUAAUUCGAUUCAUUAACCCUGGCUCGCUCGUUAUAAGGGAUGAACGUUGAAUGGCCGCAUAUAUCGCGGUCGAAAGAAGAAUUUUCCGCGCUAUUGCACCGACCCCCCCUCCUCGAUUUCUUACAGUCAUCCGCCUGUUAUACGAGAUGGGAAAGGAUCCAACUUCCGCCGUUUCCGUCCCUUCCCCCGUCCCCCUCCUACGUUCUUCCCCCACGUUUCAAAAUAAUUCUUUCACGCGAGAAUUUCCGAUACGACGUCUCUAAUUUUUCCUCCAGGAAUUUAUUUAACUUCGGCCGAACGUUUUCGUAACGAAAUUACGUUUAAUAUCGAUUCGAUAUUCCGUGGACCUUUCGCGGAGACGAAAGGUGGUUUAAUUUGAGCUUGAAUUUUUGAAGGAACGAAAAAUACGAAGCAAAGAAAAAUUCUCCUCGAAUAUGAGAGAAUAUUAAACAUCGAGACGUGUCGAGCUAAGCUCCUCGAUUAUUACUCCCACGUUUCUUCCCAAUUUAUGGAUUCUCGAAUUCGAAAAUUGGAGAAAAUCGUCGAUCUCGAGAUUUUAAAUCCUCGAUCCCCAAUUAUUAUUCCCAUGAAUUGGAAUUUCUUCCCAAUUCGUAUAUUUUCGAAUUCGAGAAUCUCCCCUUUCGCUACGGGUCCGAUUUCUCCACCGCGGCAAAAAUGUAUCCGAGAAAGAUCGUUAGCGACCGCGUUUACGCCUCACUAUAAACCCGAGUGCUUUGAUUAUGUUUAUUGAAAAAAAAACUCUCCUCGAAACGGGGUAUUUAUAACUUGUAAACACGCUCACAUUUCAUUACACUUUAGAAUCGAAUAACAUUAUAAAAUAUAAAAUAAUAUAAUAUAAUUGUACGAUAAUAAUAACUGUUAGUAAUGAUGAGAAACGAAUGAUAAAAACAAAAUACCGAUGCUACAUUUCCAGAGAAAGAUACUUGACGUACAAUAAUUUCAAUCGCUCGUCAUAUGUACAAUACGCGGCGUCUUACGCAGACCGACUAUAGUCGCCUCAUAGAAUAUCAGUGGCACUUUACGCAAACCGACUAUAGUCGCCCGUAGUUAACGAAACGGUUAAAGUAAUUUUUACGCGAUUGAAAGCAAUGUACAUAACACUUCUCCGACAACAUCCUCUCGAACGAAUUCGCGGCCGAAAGAGAGAUGCUUUUUGGAUAUCUAGUUGCCGAAUCGAGAAAGAGAGAACAACAGGGAGGAUCGAACAAUAGGAUUUAUAUAUAUAAGAAAGAAAGAAUAAUCGCCACGAGGAAAGAAGGAGUAUCCUUUUUGUACAACAAUGUUGUCUCUGCGGAGCAGCCGGUAAUUCUCACGUUAUCGUCUACGGGUGAAACUGUUGUAUAGAAAGGAGUGACGGGAGGAGAAGGGAGGAGGGAGAAGCGUAGUGAGAUAGUUAAAUAAAAUCUGGAAAUAUCUCGACCGAUAAUACCGACCGAGCCAGCCUGUGGUGACGCGAUCUUUUUUUUUUAAUUUUCCACGCGUCCAUCAUCGAUUUUUGCUGUAUUUUAUGUCAGCAGAAGCCGACCUUCUUGGAUGAUUCCUUUUUCCUUGGUUGGCAUUCCGCGGAUUCCGACUCGACCUAUUUCUCCUCAUAACGAGUUUCGUUACCAGCAAGGGGAAAAUAAGAUUUUUACAUUAUUUUAAAGUAAUGGGUUUGUUUGUGCCGUGCACCUGAAUACAGUCCGGCUGGAAUUUUUGUCGCCCGUUCUCCAAUUGGGUCAACGUUGUUUUAUACGAUGUUUGUAUUCUCUUAUGUAUUUCUUUUCUUUUCUUUUCUUUUCUUGAAAAGCGAGUGUAGACGAACAAACGAGUAAGGGAAGUCUGUUCACUCUCCAAUCAAUUUUCGAGAGAAAAUUGCUCUUUUAAAGGAAUAUAAAGGGAUAGUAUAUCGUUUAGUAAGUUUUUUUUUUUGUUUCUUGAAAUGAAGGAAAUUCGACAAAUUUGAUACUUUUUUCUUCUCUCUUACUCUCUUCGAGUGAAAAUAAACGGUGUUCGAUUAUUUUUCGAGACAGUGCAGUUUUAUUAUUAACGAAGUCGGUAAUUUCGAUGAAAUCAUCGCCUGCCCGCUGUUUAUUAUCAAAGGAGUAACAACGAGGGCAAUACGGUUCUUAACAUUUCCAUCGUUUGUUUUAUCAUUUUCGUAUAAACGCUAAGCCAUUUUGUUUCUGCCUAUAAUCUCGAUACACGUACGUAACAGAAUAAAUUUACAAUAUUUUUUUCGAUCGAAUUAUUAUCGUCGAAGAAAAAGAAGAAAAAUUGAAUAAAUUCUCUGUACCUAUCUCUCUAUCUAUUUAUUAUUAUUAUAAAAUAAUAUAUUUCUCCGCAGUUAAAUUAAAUUAGAUGCAAUCAAAGGCAAUGCAUUAAAAAUAUUAUCGAAUAAAGUUACUUUAACCACUUAUUAAAAUGCUCGUUUUUAUUCGUAGCUAUUCUCAUAUAAUAUUCGCAAUUAUUAUUACGUCUCGAAGGAUAAAUUAUCAAAGUAAUUUUAUUCGUGAUUUCAACUGUUAGAUUUUCCCCAUGGAUGCGAUUCUUCUCGAAUAAAAAAAAAAGGAAUCGAUAAAUUUUCCGGAUAUCACGUUAUAUUACGAGAUAAAUAAAUAUUACUCGAUUAGGAUCGUCUUGAAAAGCACAGCUUCAUUUAGAUUAUCGAAAACGUAAUUAUAUGGCCGCCCGUUUAUAAAUCAAAUUAAUGAAACGAUGGCGAUAAAUCUAAAUCUUUUUUACCCGAUGGUGGUAAAAUGGAGGUGGUCAGUUAAGAAGUUAAAUAACCACAGAUUAUUAACUCGAUUAAUUAUUAUUAACCCUCCCUCUCCCCAUCAAAACUUGUUGUACUUUGAAGGAUAUAAAUCGGAUAAACACACGGCCAGGGAACUUUUUUAACUUCGUCCUUAGAUAGAUAUUAUCUCGACAGGGCAUUACUUUCGCGAUACAACGAGCAAGCUUUUCCAAUUAACUUCCAUCUUAUAAAUAUUCAUGCCUCGAAUUCGCGCUCACGCCCAAACGUAAAUCCAGUUUCUUUUCCUUGCUAAAACCCUCAUUCCCCCUCCCUCCUCCUUUUUUUUUCUUAAACGAAUUUUCAAACUCGAAUUCCUUCGAAUUCGUUCCAGCAACUUUCUUUCCCAAUUAAAAAUCCGAUUGGAUUCGAUCAAGUGUUAAAUUUCGCAACAACAAGGACCAAGAUUUCGAAGAUUUUGAUUUUUUUUUUAGAAAGAAUAUAUAUGCAUAAUCUCAAGAAGAAGAUACUCUUGGAAAAUAAAAAUUCUCACUAUCUUUUAUAGAAAUAAAAUGCAAACAACAAACGCGCGAUAUUUUUUAAUAUUUCCCUAUUAUUAUUAUUAUAAAAUAAAAUUAUUAUUAUAUUCUCAGUUUUUUAAAUAAAAUCAAAAAAAGAAAAGAGAAAAAUAAUAAUCGAAGUGCUAUAAAUAUUAGAAAUUCACUUUUGUUUUCGCCUCGAUCGACAACAUUAAUACGUGAGGCAAGAGACGACGCCUAACAAAGGUCAACAAACACUUGGUGUGCCCGUGGAACGAAUCAUUUCUCGCCGAUACGACAGAGAGAAAGGUACACACGGCGAGCACGAGCAUCGAGCACCAUUAACGACGCAUCAGUUUCUCUGGCACGCAACUUUUAUUAUCCCGUGAAAUUUCCACGAGGCAGACUUUUCAAAAGAAGCAAAGAGCAAUCCGUAGAUUUUAAUGGUCGUAAUGUCUCCGUUGUUUUGAGUUCGCCCGGUGUGUGUGUGUGUGUUGGAAUGCUCCAAAAAAAUUCCCCCUUUCCAUCCAUCCAUUCGAAAAAGCGAAUGAGAAGGAAAAAGAAGAAACGAUUAUCACGAAAGUCACCCGGAUAAUUAAUUUUUCGAGUUGAAAAUUUCUCAACAAAAUUGAGAGAAUUUUGAAUGUGGAAAUAGUGGAAAAGAGUUUGAGAAAUUUGAGUUAAGAAAAAUAUCCGUCGGCAAUUGCCUCGAAGAAAAAAGAUCGCAUCCUUUAUCUCAGGAGGAAUAACGAAGGAUGUGGCGAUGUCUCGAAGGAAGCGCGUGAAAGAAACGUUCGUCGCAGUUUGGCAAAUAUUCUUAAGCCGCUUAAAGAUCCCUCCCCUUCCUCCGUCCACGACGUUGUUUACGCGCGAGGAAGGACGAGCAGAGGAAAAACUGUUCCGCUUCAGCAAUCUGGACGACCUUUCUAUCUUUUCACCCGAAAUUAACGAUGAUAAUUAGCCGGUGUGUAAGAACCAGUAAGAGCUCGCCGUUUCCCCAUCUUUUUCCUUCCCUCUUCUCCUCUUAUUUUUCCAUUUCUCUUCUCUCUUUUUCUUUCUGUUCAGUUGGAACAGAUCCUCAGAACAGAGAAUCAAUCGCUCUCGCGAAAAAUUUUUCUCGCGAGUGGAUCGUGUAUUCCAUUUGCAAGGAGUAAUAUAUAAUCUGUCCACGUUAGUUUUAGAAUACAUUCGAGACAACAGAGAAUUCGCUUUCUUCAUAUCUUUCACCGUUAUUUUUUUCCCCCACCUUUUCUCCCUCUCUCUCUCUUUCUCUUUCUCUAUGACUCUCUUUCUCUCGCCGGCCACGUGUUGUCGGCCGUUAGAACGGCGGUUCUCUUUCGUCGGAGCAUCGGACGACCGAAAACCGCUUUUGAAAACGAACUUCUUGUCUCUCGGUUGCUUCGUGCCUUAACCAAGUUGGUACCAAAGGCUAUUUUCACCAACGAACUCGUAACCCGAUACACAUCGAGCGAGGAGAGUUUGUUUCGGUGUUUCUGUGCAGUUAGAAAAUCACUGUGAAAUGGCCUUCGGGUUUCCUUUUAAUGAAAUGCGCAACUUCCGACUUGUUAAUGGGACCUCCCCCUCUCCUCGCUCUGUUCAAAACAGAACAGCGUUUGCUCUUCGCUUUUUCUUUCCAAGAUUUAAUCCAACACUUUUCCAAAAGAAAUAUUAACGUUUAAUUAUUGAAAGAAGAAGGGGAAGAGGAGGAGGAAAAGAAAGAGGAGAAGGAUGCGGGAAAUUAAGGGCAUGCAACGCGUUUAAAAAAGAUGUUUAAUCGUAUAAAAACAUCGAUUUUCUCUCUCUUCUCUUUCAAAGAUUUCGAAGAUUUUUAAUUACGUAUCGAAUUACGUAUAAAUUUUUACAAAAUAUAUUUUCGUUGGAUUUUUUCGUUUAUACGCGUUAAUUUCAUCUUGGAAUUUAAUUAAACGAACUUAAAACGGAUGAUCGUCUUAUUCCUCGAGAUUACGAGUUUAAUUCUUGUUCGUUUGGAAACGUUCUCGAUCAUUGUCAUUCUACGUGAAAUAAUAUCAACUUCCUUUUGUAUAAAUAUUUUAAUAAACUUUAAUCAAUUGAUCGACCCGAGAUAAUUUUUCUGCGAUAAAAAAAAGGAAAAAGGAAAGAGAAAAAGAAAAAAAUUUGUUUGUAUUUAACUCGCGAAGAAAUUCGUCAUGCAUAAAUAAAACGCAAUGAAAUUAUUCAUUUAAUUUUCUCCACUGUUAUUACUGAAACGUAGCGAAUACAUUAGAGAGAUUUGAAUACAUUUUGAAGAGGAGAAUCUUAAUCACCGAAUUGCAUAAUAUCGAGGAAAUGGUAGAAAGGCCGGUUUAAUAUCUUGCGAGGUAAAAUCUCAUUAUUAUGGUUUUGAAAAAUGUGAAGUGAAAAGAGGAAUUAAAAUUUCCAGAUAGACAAAAGAGUUAAUUAAAACGAUUUUUCUUCUAUCUUACAUAUACAUAUACAUACAUAAACCUUGCAAAAUCCAAUGUUCCUUUAAUCUUAGAUUCUCGAUCUCCUUCGCCCUUCCCAUUUUUUAAAUUUAUAUCAUACGUUCUCUUUCGCUCGAUAAUUAUUCGUAAAAAGAAAAAAAAAAAAGAGACAAAUAAAGAGAAUCACGAAGAGAAGAGGGACACAAGGGGCUCUCGACAAUAAGGCGAAACGACAAGGUUCUUCUUCCCUUUCUCUCUGGUUGGGGUGGCGAGGAGGAGAAAGAAAAUCGUCGAUUUUCUUCUCCUCGUCCCCCGAACAGUUGUCUCCGAGUGUGGCGUCAGCGCGACGUCCAAAAAUAGGGGGCUGUAUUAGGGCGUAAGCCCGCGGUGGCUCGUUUUCGCACGGCUCACCGGACCGCGAAUGCAUCGUCUUCGGCUGCUGGUAAUUUUAGAUCUGGAGGAGACGUCGCGACGCGGAUUUCCACUCUGUUCCUACUCUCCACCGCGAACGAUACGAACUCGGCGACGUUUCAUCGACGUUGCACAACCUCUCCCAACAACGCUCCGCGUCAGAGGAAAUGCGUUCCGUCCCACGAUCCCCCCGAAUCUUUCCAUCUUUCGACGCUUCCGUUGCGCGGGCGGAAGAUUUGAUCGCAUUUGAGCCGAUAAUUUUUUUCGAUGAGGAGAAAUUGGCUCUUUUUUUUGUGGUAGAUGAUGAAUGGAGAAAUUCGGGAAAUGAAUAAUUUUCUAUGAAAUGAAACGAAAUAUCAUUUCAUUUUAAUAAUUCGAGGGAAUAAGAAUUUCCAAGGGAGAAUUUAUCGUAUUUGAAAUUUUAUCAUCAAUUGCGAUCUCUCUCUUUCUCUUUACGGGGACGUUUUAUCCUGUGGAUUAUUUGUUGCCGUUUAAAAUACCGGUUAAUACGCGCGACGAGAGCGAGUUUAACUCGCUCCUGUAACCAAUUCUAUUGAACUUUUGCGGUAAGCUGAUCGAUGACGCAAGUUUUCCAAUUAUGUAAAGUUAUAGUUUGGCGGCGGUUAGUUUCUAACAUGAUAACACACGUUGGGAACGUCGUGUACGUAUGCAACGACGUUCUUACCAAGGCAAAUCGAGUUCGUACAACACUCGCUUAUAAACCACUCGCGAAACUUUCAUUACGCACGAGGAGGGGAAGAUUAAAAUUAUCCCAUAUCGAAUCGAAGAUUGAAUUGCAAUUUCCAUGGAAAUGGAAAAUCCGAAAUUUUUAACACCUCGCUUUUCGCGUUUUCUUUUUUUUUUUCUUUCGAGCGAAGAACGAAAGAUUUAAACAUUGUUUCCCUUCCUCCUUCCUUCCCGGAUGUCAGGGGAAGGGAUUCGCGACACUGUCGAAUAAUAAAACUGCGAUUAAUUGCCUCCUAUAUAACGUCACAUUGUGUACAAGUGCUGGACAUUUGCCAACACCGUUAUUGCUGCAAAUAACAUUCUAUAAAUAAUACAACUGCGACAAGCGAUCUCGGUAGCCAGCUUGCAUCUCGAGUAUAAGUCUCGUCGUUCAACGUCUUCCAACAAUCGAUCGAUCUUGGAGCAAUGUCGAUACGCAUAUCGGAGAUAUGCACAUUUUUAUGUCCUCGGUUAACCUAUAUCUGUAUCUUCUUUACCGACCUAAUCUUCGUUAUCGACCAAUCUUCACCUUGACCAAUCCGAUUCUCGAAUUCCUCAUCUAGGGGAAUAUUUGCAAAAUGGACGUUGCGGAUGGAUCCUUCGAUAAACUGUCUAAUCAUCCACGCUCGUGAUUUCUACAUAAGAAAUCGUGGGAACGCUAAUCGUCGCCGAUAAUAAUUUAAAUUUACAUUCAAUCGAACGAAAUAAUUAUUUAUGGAGGUAAUCAAGAAAUUGGUUCGCCUUUGGGAAUUUAAUUAUUUGCCUGUCUUUCGUAUUUUAUCGAUACUAUGUUUCCUAAUAAGGGUUUCUGAGGAGGCACGGAGGACGAGUGAAAAUGACAAAGCUCGGUCGGCUUAUCGGUUCGUGGUGUUGCACGUUUCAUUAGGUGUUCUUGACACGCCCUCGUAAAGUUAUAGUUCAAGCAAGUUUAAUGGGAUCAAUUUAGUUAUUUCGAGCGGGUUUGUUUACUAAAACGGGGCUAAAUUUCCUUAAUCCGACGCGGAAAAAUGCCGCGUAUAAAAGUCAUUAAGGGGUUAAAUAGGAUCGUUUGACACUUUUACUGCUUCAUGCCCCCACGAUUUAUUGCAUCGUGUAAUUUCUUUAAUUUUUCACGUCGCGUUAUCGCGGACUGUUCGAGAGCUAACGAAUCUGAUCGGGGAGGAGAUUCUUCCCUGGAUUAAUAUUUUUCGACACAAUGAUCCGUAAUUGUCCUUCAUCCUCCAGGCAGCGUGUGCAGCUCAUUAAAUUCGAUUCGUCGCGUUGCCAUUCAAUUCUUUUUACCCCGUAAAUCUCACUCGUCCGAAUUUUUAUCGGAAUUGGAUGGAAGAAACUAAAAAUCGAAAGGAAUCGAAACGAGAGAAAAUUAUUCUUUUUCUCAAGAAAAAUUUGAAAAGGAUCGAAAAUCAGGAGAAAAUUAUUCUCCUCUAAUUUCGAUUGUAACGCGAUUGCAAUAAAAAAUAGUAAAGCUGAAAAAAAAUCUGAAAAGGAAAUGUAAAAGAAAUCGAUGCAAUCAUCGAGAGAAAAUUAUUCCCCUCUAAUUUCGAUUGCAAUAAAGAAAAAAAAAAAAAAUGGUAAAGGCGAAGAAAAAUCUGAAAUGUAAAAGAAAUCGAGUAAGAUCGACGCAAUCAUCGAAGAGAAUUAUUUCAGCGGUGAGUAAUCGUUUGCGUGAUGUAAUUAUAGUGACUAUGAUGUAACAAAGGAAGAUAGGAAGAUCGUGGAAAGAAAUUACGAAGGAGGGAAUUCAUCCUGCAUUAUUUCGAGUAUGAAAUUGCAGAUGAUAUGAUAAGCCUGGAAUGCAAAGGAGAUUCGCUCUUCCGCCAGAUGCGGUUGCCAAAUAUUUGACUCAAAAUAUCAUUCUGCAUAAAUAAUGUCAAGCGGGAAGAAGGACGGAGCGAGUGUAUUCACUUGUUAUUCACUUGUUUCGGUUUGUGUAAUCAACACGAAUGAAAAUAUAACGCGAAAACGAUAAAGCUAAUCUUUAUGCGUGCAAAAGUGAACGGAAUUUUUCCGAAUACACAAGAUCGAUCAAUCGAAAAUAUCUGUACAAAAAAAAUAUAAGAACGGCAAAGAAUAAAAAAAAAGCUUCGUUCGUUCUUAGAACGCGAGAUUAUAAUUCUGACUGAAAAAUUGUCGAUUUUGAAUCAUAAAUUAAUAAAACAUUGCAUUCCAUCAUCUUAAUCCAAUUCUAAAUUUCGAUUCAAUAAUAAUUCUUAUUAAUAAAGAAUCUCGUACACUUUUCUUAAUUAAACCUUCCAUCUCUCCUUUAAACGCAAGAAUUAAAAGUAAUUCCAAAAAAAGAAAAAUCUCCUUUUAAAAGCUUCCCUGGUCCUAAAGGGUUGCGUGUCCCCCUCUGACGCCACUCCUUGAGGUUACUCAAGGGUCGAGCAACUGCAUACGGCGUCUUUGUACGGCAUAGUUACGAGAAGAAGAAGGCGAAGAAGAAGAAGAAGCGACGGCGAGGGGAGUAGGGAGGGGAAGGAGACAGAGAGAGAGAGAGAGAGCCUGGGUAAGUUAUCACUCGAGUCUGGACCAGGAAUAGUCGCCAUGUGGUGGCAGCCGUGGGACUGACUAUUUUCGGGUAAAGACAAAUUUGGCGCGAUGCGCUACGAGGGAGCAAAGCAAGCCUCGUGGUAGAGUCUCAAGUGUAAGCUUACAUGUGCCGGGGGGUGUCGGCCGCGACACGGAGAGGCCAAUGGGAUCUGUGCGGCCAUUUUUAGAGGGCUCGUUGAAGCAACCGUGGCUCAAAGCUUUGGCAGCAUUCAGUCUGAAGCAGCCAGCCGGCAAGGAGGAGGCCGAUUUCCGUCCGACACUUUUCGAUCGACACUUCUUCUACGAAAUCGCGCGAUCCUCGGCCUCUCUCCCUCGCUCUCACUCUCUCAUUCACUCGCUCUCCACCAAGGACCAUCCACCGCGGGGCCUGGAUCCACCGCCUCUCCCUGGAUCACCUCCUCUCUCUCCUUCCUUAUCCAUCUUAUCCGCCGUGUCGAUCGACAGAGGAGAACAGGAGGAGAAGGAGGAGGAGGAGGAGGAGGAGGAUCCACCCAGGUACACGCCACCCCUUUGCCCAGAACGGAUCCUUGGACCUCCGAGUGGAUUACGUAAUACGUUUUUUCGCAAGAUGGAUACAUCACACAGUGGUACACGCGAGCAGAGAACGGAAUAAUUCGUAAUUUUUGAAGGAAGAGGAUCGAGAAAGAGGGAAGAAGAAACCGGGCGAUGCUGUUCCGUGCUUCCUUACUUCCCAUAGUGGAUGCGACGUAUGGAAUGUAAAGAAGUAUGGAGCUGCGCCCGGACGUCGCGUCGUCCUUGCAAUUGGAUGGAGAGAAAAAAGAAAAACGAGAAAGAAUGAGACGGACGGGUCGGAACAGCUGAGAGAAACUUGAGACGAACAGUGAUCCUUUUUUUUUUCUGUUUACUUCUUGUUCCCUGUGGAUAACGAUAUGUGUAUAUACAAUAUUCUCGCGGGAAAAGGGGAAAGGAAGAAGAGGAGGAAGAAAGGAAGGAAGAGAGAGAGAGAGAGGGAGAGGGAGAGAGGGAGGGAGAGAGAGUUUUUUGUGCAAAGAGAGAGUUUUCGCUGUCGAACGUUGGUUAGGUACGUGGAAAGGGAAUGUACAACCGGUGCUAUAUAGUUUGGUAUCGAUAGGCUGGAUGCCAGAAAUAGAUGCCGGUUCCACGUAUUUUGUAACGUGACUCGGAACAUCUUUCCAUGUGGCCUCUCCCGCCUUCUCUAUUUACGAUGACGCGGGAGAUGCAACCGAUGCCUGGCUAGGAGGACGCGCAUUGUAAAACCGCACUCUCUCUCUAUCGUUCCCUCUCUUUUUUUCUUCUUCCUCCUCCUCUUCCUCCUCCUCGAAGCAUUCGAGCGGAGACGUGGACGUGCAGUAGAGUUGCAGGCUGGCAGCGAGGAAGGGAAAGGAAGGGAAGGGAGGAGAGGAGAGGAGGAGGAGGAAGGAGCUGGAGAGGAAGGAGAUCCUCGUCCGGCGUUCGAGUCAAAAAUAGGACGUGUACCACGCACGGUCACAGGCAUAUUUCCAUAAAUGAGUUCUCCGGUUACAGGGGUCUAUUUCCGGCCCGGCGGGCCGGCGACCCGGAGUUGCACAGCCAAUUACAAUCGGCUCCAGGACGGAUCUCUCGUUCUGGGAAUCUGGGAGGAAUCUGCAUUAACCGUUGCAGCGAGGAUUUUCGAUCGAAGGGAGGAUUUUCUCGAACACGCGCGUGUUUCUUUCGCUCCUCCCUCCGCUCCCUUCCCCCCUCUCCUUUCCCACGCCGUGAGUGAAAAAUUAAAAUGGUGGUUUUUGCUACGAGAGAUUACUAUCAUCGUCAGUGACGGUCGUCUCCUUCUUUCCUUUCUUUCACGUAACACGUAGUCGUUGUAUACGUAUGUACACGAUGAACGGAGAUUUCUUUGGAAUCGUUAAUUUUUCUUUUGUUUGCUCGUGGAAAUAUAUGUAUUCGAAUUUGGAUAAUAAUUUGGAUUCGUCGUUGUAAGUGCGAGUUACGUCGCGGUGAACGUUUAUUUUCAAGGAUAGGAAGUCGUCAGGCACGAAAAAAUGACGCUAAUUAAUGACGAUUAGUUUUAUAUAUGAAUCGGCGAGAGAGUAUGGAUCAAUCGUUUUUAACGAGAUGAGUAAUUUUGCUUCCCUUUGCUCUCGAAGAAUCUAGAGGUUAUUUUCUAUCUUCGUUCUCGAGAUACAAUAACUUUGUGCUAUUUCGGAUACAUGUAAAGUCUUUCUGCGUUUAAAAAUUCUGUAUUAUUAUUAUUAUUAUUAUUAUUAUUAUUAUUAUUAUUAUUAUUAUUAUUAUUAUGAAAAUAAUAAUAGAAGAAAUUUGUUCGCAAUCAAAGUUGUUUCGAUAAUUUAUUUUUACGCGCAUAUUCUAUUAAUAAAAGUUAAAUUAUUCGAUCGAGCAAUUGUAUUAUAUAAUCGCUUGCGCAAACUAUUAAUAACUCGCGUGUUUCAAAUAUCGUAUUCCUAUAUUUAUAUGUUUACUUUGUACGAAAAGUUUUAUUUACGGAGAGUACUAUUUUACGAUUAAUUGCAUCAACAACUGUGUAUCAAUUAUACAAUAAUAUAUAUAUAUAUACAUACACGAAUAAUGAAGAAUAAUCAACGUCGCAAUAAAAAAUCGAUAUAAAUAAAA